RNAcentral lists this ribosomal RNA (713 nucleotides) under Mycolicibacterium llatzerense. RNAcentral describes it as "bacterial SSU rRNA". It matches the Rfam family "Bacterial small subunit ribosomal RNA", at positions 54 to 784 of the family's 1533-position model. Lineage: Bacteria; Bacillati; Actinomycetota; Actinomycetes; Mycobacteriales; Mycobacteriaceae. The record is from RNAcentral.
CAUGCAAGUCGAACGGAAAGGCCCUUCGGGGUACUCGAGUGGCGAACGGGUGAGUAACACGUGGGUGAUCUGCCCUGCACUUUGGGAUAAGCCUGGGAAACUGGGUCUAAUACCGAAUAUGACCACGCUCUUCAUGGGGUGUGGUGGAAAGCUUUUGCGGUGUGGGAUGGGCCCGCGGCCUAUCAGCUUGUUGGUGGGGUAAUGGCCUACCAAGGCGACGACGGGUAGCCGGCCUGAGAGGGUGACCGGCCACACUGGGACUGAGAUACGGCCCAGACUCCUACGGGAGGCAGCAGUGGGGAAUAUUGCACAAUGGGCGCAAGCCUGAUGCAGCGACGCCGCGUGAGGGAUGACGGCCUUCGGGUUGUAAACCUCUUUCACCAGGGACGAAGCGCAAGUGACGGUACCUGGAGAAGAAGCACCGGCCAACUACGUGCCAGCAGCCGCGGUAAUACGUAGGGUGCGAGCGUUGUCCGGAAUUACUGGGCGUAAAGAGCUCGUAGGUGGUUUGUCGCGUUGUUCGUGAAAACUCACAGCUUAACUGUGGGCGUGCGGGCGAUACGGGCAGACUAGAGUACUGCAGGGGAGACUGGAAUUCCUGGUGUAGCGGUGGAAUGCGCAGAUAUCAGGAGGAACACCGGUGGCGAAGGCGGGUCUCUGGGCAGUAACUGACGCUGAGGAGCGAAAGCGUGGGGAGCGAACAGGAUUAGAUA